UACGGGAGGCAGCAGGGGGAAUAUUGCACAAUGGGCGCAAGCCUGAUGCAGCCAUGCCGCGUGUAUGAAAAAGGCCUUCGGGUUGUAAAGUACUUUCAGUCGUGAGGAAGGUGUUAAGGUUAAUAACCUUAGCAAUUGACGUUAGCGACAGAAGAAGCACCGGCUAACUCCGUGCCAGCAGCCGCGGUAAUACGGAGGGUGCGAGCGUUAAUCGGAAUUACUGGGCGUAAAGGGCACGCAGGCGGUUAAUUAAGUUGGAUGUGAAAUCCCCGGGCUUAACCUGGGAAUGGCAUUCAAGACUGGUUAGCUAGAGUCUUGUAGAGGGGGUAGAAUUCCAUGUGUAGCGGUGAAAUGCGUAGAGAUGUGGAGGAAUACCGGUGGCGAAGGCGGCCCCUGGACAAAGACUGACGCUCAUGUGCGAAAGCGUGGGGAGCAAACGAGGGAUUAGAUACC
This 453-nucleotide ribosomal RNA is filed under the name uncultured bacterium. RNAcentral describes it as "bacterial SSU rRNA". It matches the Rfam family "Bacterial small subunit ribosomal RNA", at positions 340 to 786 of the family's 1533-position model. The record is from RNAcentral.